UUAAAUUUUAUUUAUUAAUUUUUUUAGAUAAAAAUUUAGUUUAUUAAAAAUAAUUAUAAAAUUUUUUGUUUUAGUAAUUUUUAAUGAAAAAAUAAAUUUAAUAAUAGUUAAAUAGUAUUGUAAAAGAAAAUUGAAAUAUUUUGAAAAAAUAUUAUUUUAUAAGAAAAUUUUAUUUAUUGUACCUUGUGUAUCAGGGUUUAUCAAAUAAAAAAUAAUUAUAUUUAUUUUUCUCGAUUUUAAAAGAUUUAAUAUAUUAAUAAAGUUAAUGUAAUAAAAUUAUUUUUAAUAAUAUAUUAGAAAUGAAAUGUUAUUCGUUUUUAAAGGUAUCUAGUUUUUUUAGAAAUAAAUUCAAUUUAUUAGUAGUAAAUUUAUUUAAUUAUUUAAUUAAUUAAAUAAUUUAUUAUUAAAAUAUUUUACGGGAUAAGCUGUAAAAUAAAAUUUUAAAAAUAAAAAUUUAAUAUAAAAAUAUAUGCUUAUAAUUAGCAAUUAUUAAUAAGUUUGUUAUAAAAUAUUUAAAUUUAUAAUAUUAUUUAUUUAGUUUUUAAAUUUCUAUAAAAAUAUUUAUUUUAAUAAAGAAAAUAAAGAAAAAAUGAUAAAAUUAGUAUAUUAUAUUGUAAAAAUAAAUUUAAAUGAUAAGUUAAUGUAAAG
RNAcentral lists this ribosomal RNA (648 nucleotides) under Ephydra packardi. RNAcentral describes it as "partial 16S ribosomal RNA". The record is from RNAcentral. Lineage: Eukaryota; Metazoa; Arthropoda; Insecta; Diptera; Ephydridae.